This 253-nucleotide ribosomal RNA is filed under the name uncultured bacterium. RNAcentral's name for it is "partial 16S ribosomal RNA". It matches the Rfam family "Bacterial small subunit ribosomal RNA", at positions 524 to 776 of the family's 1533-position model. The record is from RNAcentral.
UACGUAGGGUGCAAGCGUUAAUCGGAAUUACUGGGCGUAAAGCGUGCGCAGGCGGUUAUGCAAGACAGAUGUGAAAUCCCCGGGCUCAACCUGGGAACUGCAUCUGUGACUGCAUGGCUAGAGUGCGGCAGAGGGGGAUGGAAUUCCGCGUGUAGCAGUGAAAUGCGUAGAUAUGCGGAGGAACACCGAUGGCGAAGGCAAUCCCCUGGGCCUGCACUGACGCUCAUGCACGAAAGCGUGGGGAGCAAACAGG